CUUAAAGGAAUUGACGGAAGGGCACCACCAGGAGUGGAAUCUGCGGCUUAAUUUGACUCAACGCGGGAAAACUCACCAGGUCAGGACACGGUAAGGAUUGACGGACUGAAGGCUCUUUCUCGAUUCCGUGGAAAGUGGUGCAUGGCCGUUUUUGGUUGGUGGAUCGAUCCGUCUGGUUAAUUCCGUUAACGAACGAGACCUCGGCACUCCGAAUAGCGCGGCGGACGUCGCGGCCUCCGGGCCGUCUUCCGCACGAGCUUCUUAGAGGGACCGUCCCCCGCCGGGGAAGGAGGUGCGAGGCAACGACAGGUCUGUGAUGCCCUUAGAUGUUCUGGGCCGCACGCGCAUUACACUGACGCGUCCAACGGGUGACUCCCGACCCGAAGGGGCCGGGGAAUCCGCAAGGCGCGUCGUGAUGGGGAUUGAACGUUGCAAUUGUUGUUCACGAACGAGGAAUUCCUAGUAGGCGCGGGUCAUCAACCCGCGCCGAUUACGUCCUG
This 500-nucleotide ribosomal RNA is filed under the name uncultured eukaryote. RNAcentral's name for it is "bacterial SSU rRNA". It matches the Rfam family "Eukaryotic small subunit ribosomal RNA", at positions 1143 to 1655 of the family's 1831-position model. The record is from RNAcentral.